This 253-nucleotide ribosomal RNA is filed under the name uncultured bacterium. RNAcentral describes it as "partial 16S ribosomal RNA". It matches the Rfam family "Bacterial small subunit ribosomal RNA", at positions 524 to 776 of the family's 1533-position model. The record is from RNAcentral.
UACAGAGGGUGCAAGCGUUGUUCGGAAUUAUUGGGCGUAAAGGGUGCGUAGGCGGGCAGGUGAGUCAGUGGUGAAAUCUUUGGGCUUAACCCGAAAACUGCCAUUGAUACUAUCUGUCUUGAAUAUUGUGGAGGUUUGCGGAAUAUGUCAUGUAGCGGUGAAAUGCUUAGAUAUGACAUAGAACACCUAUUGCGAAGGCAGCAAACUACGCAUAUAUUGACGCUGAGGCACGAAAGCGUGGGGAUCAAACAGG